RNAcentral lists this long non-coding RNA (249 nucleotides) under Mytilus galloprovincialis (Mediterranean mussel). The record is from RNAcentral. Lineage: Eukaryota; Metazoa; Mollusca; Bivalvia; Mytilida; Mytilidae.
AGUUUUCAGUCGUGUCCGUGCAUUUACUCAUGAACUGUUCUACUAAAGCUUCCCAAAUUUUAAUAUGUUGUUACUGAUGACAGAAUGGAGGUCAAGUUCAGUAAUGACGAUUUUGACUUUAACCGUUCAGGAGUUAUGGUUCUUGAAAGAUUGAAAAAUGGAGUUUCCAGUCGUGUCCGUGCAUUUAUGCAUGAACUGUUCUAGCAAAGCUUCCGAAAUUUUAAUAUGCUGUUACUGAUGACAAAAUGG